Molecule: long non-coding RNA, 475 nt
Filed under: Carassius auratus (goldfish)
Lineage: Eukaryota; Metazoa; Chordata; Actinopteri; Cypriniformes; Cyprinidae
Description: lncRNA (ENSCARG00000006700.1)
Source: RNAcentral
AUGGGAUAUGAGAAUCCAGCAUAUUGCUUUGGAAUGUCUUGGAGAGAGCUUUGGAUGCUGUGGAAUAAUAAGAGGCUAAUGAGACUGAGGGAAGGGGAGGGCAUUAAAUCUGGUGGGCUGAACCGCGGAGAGAGGAGCAUUGGCUGGCCCGUCUUUCUCCAGUCAGAGAGAAAUUACCCUACAGUCCUCCACACGAGACUCCUGCGAUGCGAUAAAUACUGCACCUUUGAUAUCUCGCCAUAUAGCAUCAAUAUUGCAGGAUUAAACUGUCAAGACGUUUGGUCUGGAAUUUAAAGUGUUUUCAUGAUGCAGUUGUUGGAUUUGUGGACCACAUUCAUCCUCUCUAAGGAUUUUUACCUGACUUGAGAGAACCUUACUUACAUGACAUCAUACUAAGAGGAAACUGGAUACCCGGCUUCCCAAGUCCACCAGCACCCCUCUGUGGCCUGUGGUGGCUUGCACGUUGGAUUUAAAU